RNAcentral lists this ribosomal RNA (445 nucleotides) under uncultured bacterium. RNAcentral describes it as "partial 16S ribosomal RNA". It matches the Rfam family "Bacterial small subunit ribosomal RNA", at positions 354 to 796 of the family's 1533-position model. The record is from RNAcentral.
GUGAGGAAUAUUGGUCAAUGGGCGAGAGCCUGAACCAGCCAAGUCGCGUGAAGGAAGAAGGAUCUAUGGUUCGUAAACUUCUUUUGCAGGGGAAUAAAGUGCAGGACGUGUCCUGUUUUGUAUGUACCCUGAGAAUAAGGAUCGGCUAACUCCGUGCCAGCAGCCGCGGUAAUACGGAGGAUCCGAGCGUUAUCCGGAGUUAUUGGGUUUAAAGGGUGCGUAGGUGGUUUGAUAAGUCAGCGGUGAAAGGUUGCAGCUUAACUGUAAAAAUGCCGUUGAAACUGUCGGACUUGAGUGUAAAUGAGGUAGGCGGAAUGCGUGGUGUAGCGGUGAAAUGCAUAGAUAUCACGCAGAACUCCGAUUGCGAAGGCAGCUUACUAAGCUACAACUGACACUGAAGCACGAAAGCGUGGGGAUCAAACAGGAUUAGAUACCCCGGUAGUCC